AUGCCAUUUGCUAGCUUGGCACAGGCAGCUCUGCAGCUCCUCUGCAGGCACUCUGGGGUUCGCCUCAACCGAGGCUUUGGCUCGGCUCCGGUGAUUCUCCCGCUCUCCGCGCAGGAACUGCCGAUGGCGAUUAACGUUAAACCCACCAGCAAGGGCCCGGGCGACACAGCACAAACCGCUUCGCUUCCCCGGAGCCUACUGUGGCCUCCCGAGGGACCCUGUUUUCCCCCUGCCUUUCCCGCAGGCAACGCGGCCGCAGCGGGAGAGCUCUGUGCUGGACUCGGCGGCCAUUCGAUGCCCGGGGGAUGGCGGCUGCCAUAUAGGUCCUGCAGCGCCAGCAAAGGGGAGGCGGCGCUGGAGCGGCCGCUCCGAUCCUGGCUCCCUCCGUCCGUCGGCGGGCAGCUCCCGCCAGCGAGCCGCUGGCCGGCGGCGGGACCUAUAUGCUCUCGCGGAAGGUUACCGCUGCCUGGCACGGAGGCUGCCGACGGAAGCGGUGCUGAGGCUUCUGAGGCAACACUUUGUCAAGGAGCGCCUGAUUGGCUAACGGGACUCUGCAAUGGUUAUCUGGUAAGAGUCAAGGCCUCUGAUUGGUCUUGCUGUACCUGCAAUGCGUCAAGUGAGGAUGCUGGGGUGCGCGUGCCAGAGCGCUGCCGGGGGGCGGCCGCGGCCCCGCCGGGAAUGGCUGCCCGCAGCUGGCGCUGUCCGCAGCACCGGCCAGCUCCGGGCGUUCUGGGCCCUUCCCGGCGGCAUCAGCACUCCCAGCGGAACAUUUCCCGCCUCUUGGUACCGCUGCAGCUUGCAGCAAUAGCUUGGCUGAUGAGCCAGAGUUGGCAGGAAGGAGCUAUUCCUCAGUCAGUGACCUCUUUAGAGCAGGGUUUCUACGUAAAGGAGCAGCAGAAAGACAAAGCCUCUUUUCUCAAUCCUUUACCACAACACAGGGUGCCAGAGGUGCAAAAUGUGGCAGAACAAACCUUCUUAUGCUGCCCUUCCACUGCCCAUGUGAGAAGCGUCUCUUGGACCGCUGCUCCAAGUGACAGCUUGAGUGGCAGCUGGGGGAGGAUAUGCAUGGCGAAGUGA
Molecule: long non-coding RNA, 1077 nt
Filed under: Parus major (Great Tit)
Lineage: Eukaryota; Metazoa; Chordata; Aves; Passeriformes; Paridae
Description: lncRNA (ENSPMJG00000016918.1)
Source: RNAcentral